UACGUAGGGUGCAAGCGUUGUCCGGAAUUAUUGGGCGUAAAGAGCUCGUAGGCGGUUUGUCGCGUCUGCUGUGAAAACUCGGGGCUUAACCCCGGGCCUGCAGUGGGUACGGGCAGACUAGAGUGCGGUAGGGGAGACUGGAAUUCCUGGUGUAGCGGUGAAAUGCGCAGAUAUCAGGAGGAACACCCGUAGCGAAGGCGGCACUCUGGGCCGGAACUGACGCUGAGGAGCGAAAGCGUGGGGAGCGAACAGG
Molecule: ribosomal RNA, 253 nt
Filed under: uncultured bacterium
Lineage: Bacteria
Description: partial 16S ribosomal RNA
Rfam family: Bacterial small subunit ribosomal RNA
Source: RNAcentral